GUUUGAGGGCGCGACUUGCCUUCGUUAUUUCCUUCGUUUCUUCCCUGUGAACUCGUCGUUUUUCGUAUGAAUUUGUCGUUUUCACUGCGAAUUCGUGGUCUUCCCCGUGAAUUCGUCGUCCAGAGCAGCGAUGUCGAGCCUAUUUUGGCGAGGCCGAGAGGAAAGAAACCAGGGAGGAAGCCCACACCCAUGUCCCUCAAGCUGGAAAUCAUCGCAAAAUACGAGAACGGCAUGAAGGUGUGUGACAUCGCCAAGGAGACGGGGAAGGCCAAUUCGACCAUCAGAGGUCAUCGGGAACGGAUUAAGGAUGCUGCCAAGGGGUCGCGACUCGGCCUGGGGUGGAGAAGCGCCAGGCUCUCUGGGUGCGAGACAUGCAGAAGCAGCAGCAGCUGAGCAUCACUGAUAUCCAAGUGAAGGCUGCCUUUCACUACAGGGACAUCGAAAAGUGGUCUGCCUCUUAGUACGGAAACUUCAAGGCUAAUAUUUCAUGGUUCCGGCAAUUCAAGAAGCGCUUACCCACAUAUCGCAGUAAGUGUAAGGGCAAGGCAUUUCAACUAAAGCUUACCGAGAUCAUUGAAGGGAAGCCUACUUGCCGGAACCAAUCUUUAAUUUUAAUGAGACCAACCUCUUCUGGAGGCAGAUGCCUGCUGAAAUGGACCUUAUUGAGGAUGAGAUAUGUUUCGCAGGUUUUUUGGCUGGAGAGGAUCGCAUCUUGCUGAUGCUUGGGGGCAAUGCAAUUGGGAUUUUUAAGCUCAAACCCUUGGUCGUGUACCCUUCUGAUAGGCCUAGUACUAUUACGGGCCAGACCUCUGAAAACUUGGUCAUCUGGAGGACUAACAGGAAAGUGUUAAUGACGUCUACCAUCUGCACAGACUGGUACACCAACCAUUUCAUCCCAUCAGUUGAAGACUAUUGCAAUGAAAAGGAUAUUCCUUUCAAAAUCCUCCUUAUCAUGACUAGUGCAGGAGGACAUCCGUUUAGCCUUGAUUAUUUCCAUCCUCACAUUAAGGUUCUCUUCUGACCCCCCAAAACUGCUCACAUCAUACAGCCAGUGAGUCAUGGCAUACAGCAGAUGUUUAAGGCCCUUUACGAUCAGCAUUCUUAUGAGCAGGCCUUCAAGGCAAAACAGAGUGAGGACGGAACUACUGUUUGUGAUUUCUGGAAGUCGUACAACAUUCUCAACUACAUUGAUCAUGUUACUACAGCUUGGGAAAAAGUGACUCCAAGCGUAUGAAUGUUGCCUGGCUUAAGUUGUGCCCUCAGUUCGUGUCAGAUUUUGGAGGAUUGACUAAAAUAGAAGAAGCAGAAAGAAAAUGUAGGGAGAUUGUCGAUGCAGCAGAAUUUACUACGAAGAAAUAAAAUGUUAAAAAAUUGCCUGAAACUUACACUGAGGAGGAGUUUCCUGAAAAUAGUAAUAAAGCAGUGGUAGAGGAGGGGGCUAAGCAUGGAGAAGAGACAUACGAGUCUUCAUGACUCGACCUGUUGAUCUCAGAAUCCCUCUUUAUCCAUAAGAUGAAACCAGAGUUAAACAUCAACUCUACAGCUACACAGCUAUUUACGGUGUAAUCCUGUGACCGUAAUUGCUUGUUUAGUUGUUUAUGGUUUCCUCAGGAGAGGUUGCAGAAAUGGAAUAUUGCUUUAAAAUUGCACCAGAACUUGCCUAUAGAACGCUCAUAGCUGUGUUCCACACACGUUACGGAUGAGGGCUCUUAAGGAACUGGACAGACUGUUCAACUGAAAACAGUUUUCUUUCAUAAGAUGGAACGACAAGGACAUGGAUGAGGAUACCAACAGCACAUCAUACAACCAGGAUGGAAGUUUUGAUGAGAUCAGCAUAAAGGAAGAAAACAACAUGGACGACUUUAGUGUCUUUGUGAAUGAAGAAGAAAACCAGGAGUGUACAGAAAAAGAGAAAGAAGAGUUUGAUCCUCUGGGGGAAUUCCAGUGUCAGCAGGAAGAAGACGACUCCAACCAAGAUUUAACACUACUUCAGGAAAAGAUCCUGAAACCGAACAACCAUCAGCCUCAGAAACUUGCAUACAACCUUGCACCUCAGCAGAGAGCCUGUGGACACCAGCAUCCAUUCUGAAACCUGUAUCUGAGAGGACAGUAUCUUGCACACCAUCUCCAGUGUUUAAAACUACCUCACCCGCUCCACCUCCCCAGCCAAGCCCAGUUGCAGCUCAGCCUCCAACUGAAAUGACUGGAGCACUGGAUCCUACAUCAGUGCCAGUUAGCAGUAGUAAGAGGAGGAGGACGGAAGACCCUGCAAAUGAUCUUGGUGAAUUUCUUAGUGACCAAGCUUGCAGAUUGGAAAAAUUGGUCUACAUCACUGAGAGAAGGAACCACAUAAUGGAAAAAUGUAUGAACCAAAUGUUACACAAUCAACAGAUGCAAAUACUUCAGCAGCAACAAGAUAUUUUGCAACAGCAACAGGAACAGAGUCAGAGAGUGCAAGAAAGACUACAAAAACAGCAGAAACAACAGUAUCAGGAAAUGUUAAAUUUGCAAAGACAGCAGUUCUUGAUAAUUAAAAAAUAUUAAAGAAGUGAGUCAGUAAAGAAAUAUUAUCAGUGAAUUUAAAUAUAUUGCCUUCAUUUAGAACUUAGCUAGUACCAAUGGAAUAUAUUAUAUAUUUUUGUAUAUUUGAUGUUUAUCUUUAUUUUGAAAUAAAGGUUCAAUACAAGUGUUUGUUUUCCUCAUAUUACACUAGCAUGAUGUAAAUAUUGGCCAUACCAUGGUAAUAACAACAGGGAAGUUAUACAAUUUCAUGGGAUAUCAAAUUUAUUGUCCUAUUUUAUAUAUAAAACAUAUAUAGAAUAUAUACAAAUUAAGCAUUAGGUUUUACCUGAGCAUAGAGACUUAAACUGUAACAAAUUCUCCUACUAAUCACAGCUCAAAUACCCUCCAUAAUGUUUUCAUCACACUGAAAACUAUUAUUCAGCAGACUAUAAAGGAUAAGCUAACAUAAAAAAAUAACCACUGCCAUUGCCUUCAUUAAGGAUAAGGCAAAAUUAACCGGGUUUAUAGAUCUGAACUAAUCUUCUUUAGUUAAAUAAUUCAAUAGAUUUGACCAUUUGGUGUAAAAUAUAUGAACAUUAUAAAGCUGGUUAAAAACAUAUAAAGUUUGAAAAGAGUUCUUUUAAGAAAAUUCUGCUAAAAGAUUAGCUAACUGUGAGAACAAAUAACCUAACAACUGAAACUUUAACUUAAUGAACAAUACCACAUAUGAUUCAAAAAAAAUAUAUAUUGAAAACAUGACAAAUGAAUCAUACAAGUUUCCACUGGCUUUCAGUGGGACAGUACAUUUAGUGCUCUGUUUUAGUUUAAUCUGCAGCCCCCAGAUAAAACAACUGGAAGCUGAUUAGGCAAGCCUUUGAACAAGCCUGAGGUCGGCUACACACAAUCACAUGCCAAGCGUUGAAUUUCUUUCCAAAUUUUUGCAAUGUUUUAUAACCAUGAGGAUCAUUUAGGGCUAUCCCAUUGAUAAAAUAAUAAUUUACAAAGGGAUAGUGUCCAGCAUGGCAUAUUCAUCCUAUUAUUACUAAUAUUAUUAUUAUUAUAAAAAAAAGUCUUGGAUCAGAUCUAUGUCUAAAAACCUAAGCAUAAUUUUGUAUGGCCAAGGAAUCUAUAAACUUGUCCACUGAGGUUGAAAGUCUUGUGGAAAAUCAAGUAAUCAAAUAAACUUGGAGACAAAAGAUUUGCUAAAUAAUGCAACAAGUGAUUUUGUUAUAAGACUAAGAUCUGUAUGCUUAAAUAAAUUGUGAAAAACAUAUUUGUAAAAUUGAUAUUCAAACACUGAUCCAAAACUCUUUUUGAUGUCUGUUGUAACAGAAAAAAAAAAAAAAAUGAAAGGGGAAAUCGGGUGAUGUCAUGAGGUCUACUAAUCAACUCUUUGGUGGCAGAGCAUUGUGUACAGCCAUUUCACAGAACAAAACUACAGUGAACAUUACUCUUUUGGCAUUGAGUUAAAGCCUCAACAUGAGGCAGUAUGUGCCUUGCAAGAAACCGCUUCCCAUAUGAAAGUCAUAAAUGACCAUCACACUCUUCCAAGAAGAAUGAAAAUGCAAAAAACUCAUUAUGAGUAUUUUGAUACCAAAAACUGUAGCAACUAAUAUAAACACUUCAUAUUACAAGACUUACUUUUUCUAUAUCUAACUAAUUAUUUUAAAAAUGUAAUUCCUGAGUGUACUAUUGUCUUUGCUAGGUCAUUCCUUUUUUGUUGCACCUCUUUUGCAUAGAUAUUUGUGAAAUGCAGACUUAAUGCAUUUCUAUUCUUGGGCUCGAUAUCAACUGGACUACUACCAUAACCUUCCACUUUUAAAAUAAUAUUGUGUAAAACACAUGCAGCUGCAAUAAUUUCUGGCACCUUUUCCACUAGCUUCAUGUCUAAAUUUUUAGUCGUCUAAAUUUAUGUUUAAGGAGUUGAAAAGCUCACACAUUAAAUGUCUUUUGCACAUCUGUAAGGUUUUCCUUAUCUUCAUAAGGCACAAUCAAAUAAGAUGUUAAAGGAUAUGUUUCAUCCUCAAUAAUGUGAUACAAAAGAGGCAAAUUGCCCUUUGCAGCAAAGCUUGCAGAAGGCUGUUCCUAAACACGCAAGCAUUGUGCCCCAAUCCUGGCCACCCUGUUGUGAUGUCUAAGAACUGUAAGUUGCUAUCACAUACAGCUUGAAGUUGCAUGCUUGUAAUAUUGUCCCUGUUUUUAUAUGCCUCCACAUACUGUGCAGGAACUGGGAUGCCAAUUUGUGUGCCACCAAAUACCCCUACAACUCCUGGGAAUCCUGUUUUCUUCAUGAAAUCAUUUGCCACCUGCUCAGGCUGGUGCUUUUGUGCACCACAGACAUUCAUCAGGAAAGUUUGCAGUGUCUCUACUCUAAUUUCAUAUCUCUCUGCAACUUCUUGGAAUGACUCCUGGUUGCUCAACAGCCAUAAUAUUGUCAAAAUCUCCUUCUCUGCUGUCAAAAAAUUAUUACAGAUGUGUGUUGCCAGCAGAAAACAUAACUCCUGUCAACCGGGACACAUGAAAAACAUUUUAUUUUGAUGCCAUGUAAAAGUACUUAAUCUAUAAACUGCUGACUUCAGAUAUAUUAAAUACAAAUCCACAUGCCAUUUAUUAUAAUGGUGAAGUGAAGAAGCUAACAAUAAAAGUAUAAAUAACAAGCCAGGCAGAUCUUACUAAAAGUUUCUAACCUAAUAUCAUACAAAGGAAUCAGGUUCAGAUAGAUCACUUGUUAAUGAUGUGUACUACUCGCUCAUUUUAUAUUUGAGGCUUACCAGUUACAUUGAAAGUACUGGUGCUAACAGCUAGGUACAGCAUGAAGUAUACCUGGAAAACUGCUUGUGAUCUUUCUUGCUAGGACAUACUGAAGGGAAGGUUAUGCAGUAAGGAGGGCAAUAUACUACUUACUAGGGAAGAUAUACCCAGAAAUAACACAUUUUGUCUCUCUCUUUCUUUCUUUUUCUUUAUUGUGUAUGUUUUUAAUAGAAAAAAUA
Molecule: RNA transcript, 5492 nt
Organism: Penaeus chinensis
Lineage: Eukaryota; Metazoa; Arthropoda; Malacostraca; Decapoda; Penaeidae
Exons: 6
Source: RefSeq, a predicted model, not a curated record